UCUGACUGAAAACCCUGCAGUCUACAUCUGGUACAAGAACAGAGAGUUCCUCUAUCAGGACUGGUCUCCCUGGUACCACCAGCUGGUCAGCAGUGAGGAAGCAGUCACAUACUCCUGUGCUAUCAAAGGCUACGAGCAUCUCAGAGCUCCUGAAGUCUCAGUGGAUUCUGUCACAUCGACCUGCUUUAAUGUGACCUAUGCUGAAGGGACAAUAUGUUCUUAUAAGCAGUCAUCAGAGGAUGAGCCCUGCUCCAUCACAUAUCCCAAAGAGGUUCAUAUUCAAAGGACUCCUGCGGAUGAACCAGGCCGUGUCAGACUGACCUGUAGCACCAGCUGUCCUCUGGUUAACUCCCAAACUGCCUAUAGGUGGUACCGAGGUGCAUACUCAUACAGA
Molecule: long non-coding RNA, 394 nt
Organism: Epinephelus fuscoguttatus (brown-marbled grouper)
Lineage: Eukaryota; Metazoa; Chordata; Actinopteri; Perciformes; Serranidae
Exons: 3
Source: RefSeq, a predicted model, not a curated record